AACCUGCAUAAAACAUAGAUAUAUGACCUGCAGAAUAUACGCUUUUGGGUUUCUGUUGACAUGGCUAUCAUUAGCUAAUAUUUCCACAAGCUGACAUCCUUGAAAACUGACAACACGCUAUUCUCAGCGACUGUCUACUCACUCUUUUUGGGUACAAAACUUUUUCGAGGUAAAAGUUCAAAAGGUAUGUGCGAAGGUUUUGUUAGACUCAGUAUAGCAGUGUAACGAAUAAUACUGUGCUUAAGUUUACUUAGACUGGUAAACUGCAUUGUUGUUGUUCAGUGUGAUUGUGAAGAUGUCCUCAUCCUGCAACAUUCCAAUACAUAGAUGCAUCAUCAUCAUGUUCAUCAUCAACAUUCCAGGACUUUGUAUACCACCGUUGAAUAUUUAGCCUGCAGAGGUACACUAUGGCAAUACGGUUAUUAUUGAUCUUAUAUUCAUAUAUUUUUUUCUCAUUCAAUGAAUGACUGAUUCUGUUGGUUUGUAAAACUGCAAAUAUUUUAUCAGUUGGAUUGUUCAACGCUGCACCUGCCAACCUAGUGUAGAGAUCUCCCUGUCUACCUGGUGUAGAGAUCUCCCUGCCUACCUGGUGUAGAGAUCUCCCUGUCUACCAGGUGUAGAGAUCUCCCUGUCUACCAGGUGUAGAGAUCUCCCUGUCUACCUGGUGUAGAGGUCUCCCUCCCAACCUGGUGUAGAGAUCUCCCUGUCUACCAGGUGUAGAGAUCCCCCUGUCUACCAGGUGUAGAGAUCUCCCUGUCUACCUGGUGUAGAGGUCUCCCUCCCAACCUGGUGUAGAGAUCUCCCUGGGUACCUGGUGUAGAGAUCUCCCUGUCUACCAGGUGUAGAGAUCUCCCUGUCUACCAGGUGUAGAGAUCUCCCUGGGUACCUGGUGUAGAGAUCUCCCUGUGUACCUGGUGUAGAGAUCUCCCUGUUGUGUCAAUUGUCUUAUGUAUCUGUCCAUCAUGUAUGAAUCAUUGACUCUAUGAGCUUGUCAUUUAUCAGCUGUAUACCCGGGACUACAAAAGGGGCAAAGUAAUAAACAGCUAUGUUCAUUUGGCAAUGGUGAAUAACUCGAUAUUUUGUGUAUCCUUAUUGUCAGAAUACUGCUUGUGUCAAAAAUGUCAUGUAAGGUAGAUUUACAGUAUUUGCGGGAGUUUUGCUUGGAUGACAGACUGGUACUACUUACAUAGUACAUCAAGUCCCACUGCAGGAGCAGUGGCGAGGGUGCUGGGAGAACGUUGUGUGGCUCGUUGAUGUUGCUGUGUGACGUGUUGUAUGUUGUGUACAGACAGCAGAUGUUUGGGUAGAACCUACACUGAAAUACUGUUUAUGGGGAUGGUAAUGUUCUCCGGACAAUGACACAGACAAGUGUAUAUAUUUAGUGAAUCUUCUGAAGUGUGUAUCAGUGUAACUAACAAUAAACAACCAACAUACUUCUUUCCUAACAAUAACCAACAGGAAGGUAGAACUUCUCGCUUCAGACAGAUCCAGACUAACAAUGUUUCACUUGAACACAUGCAGUAAACACACACACACACACACACACACACACACACACACACAACAUACACUAUAAAUGGCUCUAUGACUGCUUAGCUUGACUUGCAAUAAUACUGAAAAUCUUUUGAAACGGUCAUGUUUUUGCAGUUCAUGUUUUCAUCUUGUAGUGUUCCCAUCUGCAAGUCAGCUGAAGCUUGCUCUGUGUUGCAUAGCAACCAGUUUACUCAACUUGGCAGAACAAAACAAAUUAUAUUAAUUAUUUUUCAAAACAUGUAGAGGAAACUGUUCAUUUUUCAUAUUCCACCAGUAACUUAGUACUGUUGCAAACAAAAAUGCAUGUGUCAUCCAUUUUUGUAUGCUGAGUGCGAUAUACUUGUUUGUCCGACAAGUCAUCAGAUUAUGUUAUAUAUUUAACACAGAUUCUCUUAAUGUACUCUGAAAGCACUGUUUGUAGGCAGCCUGAAAAUAGUCAUCACAAACUGUGUUUAAUCACUUGUGCGAAGGUUUUCAUACUUUCAGAUAAUACAGUUCAUGCUGACUACCUGAUACAUGACCAUGUGUCUGUGCAUUUGUCAUGCAAAACCUUUGUUUGCUUUGUAGUUUUAAGAUUCUCACAAACCCUUGUACAUGCCAUGCUUUGUAGGAAACAGUGAAACCUUGCUUCCUUGUCACCCCGGGAAACCGACGGUUUUAUGGCGUUAUUCUUCUGUGUAAGCUGAGUAGCAAUCUGUAAUGUGAGGUCAGCAAGUUAAAGUGUUAGGUGGGGAUUGGGUUUGCAUGGUCUCACUGUGAGAGAGUUUAAAUCUUCAUCACUGUUUUUGCUGCAUCCAAUCAAUUUUUCGUUUUAGGUUAUAAUCCCUUCAAAAGAUGAAUAAUUUUGUUUAUAUUUUAUGAUCAUACAGGUAAUAUUUUUGGUUUGUGAAUAGCAGAUAUAUAUUUGUUAAACAUGUAAUUAUAAAGAUGGCAACAAGAGUGAUAAGUGAUGUUUGAAUUACCACUCUUUACAGAUUCAUUUGUGCUGUUUGCCUUUAUGCAAUUCACUGGUAAUAAACAAUGGAUUUUUA
RNAcentral lists this long non-coding RNA (2564 nucleotides) under Haliotis rubra (blacklip abalone). Its description in RNAcentral is "uncharacterized LOC124288149, transcript variant X1". Lineage: Eukaryota; Metazoa; Mollusca; Gastropoda; Lepetellida; Haliotidae. The record is from RNAcentral.